GAUCAUGGCUCAGGACGAACGCUGGCGGCGUGCUUAACACAUGCAAGUCGAACGCUGAAGCCUAGCUUGCUGGGUGGAUGAGUGGCGAACGGGUGAGUAACACGUGAGUAACCUGCCCCCUUCUUUGGGAUAACGCCCGGAAACGGGUGCUAAUACUGGAUAUUCACUGAUCUUCGCAUGGGGGUUGGUGGAAAGGUUUUUUCUGGUGGGGGAUGGGCUCGCGGCCUAUCAGCUUGUUGGUGGGGUGAUGG
This 251-nucleotide ribosomal RNA is filed under the name uncultured bacterium. RNAcentral describes it as "partial 16S ribosomal RNA". It matches the Rfam family "Bacterial small subunit ribosomal RNA", at positions 15 to 263 of the family's 1533-position model. The record is from RNAcentral.